RNAcentral lists this ribosomal RNA (505 nucleotides) under uncultured bacterium. Its description in RNAcentral is "partial 16S ribosomal RNA". It matches the Rfam family "Bacterial small subunit ribosomal RNA", at positions 28 to 507 of the family's 1533-position model. The record is from RNAcentral.
GACGAACGCUGGCGGCGUGCCUAAUACAUGCAAGUGGGACGCAAGGAAACACACUGUGCUUGCACACCGUGUUUUCUUGAGUCGCGAACGGGUGAGUAACGCGUAGGUAACCUGCCUAUUAGCGGGGGAUAACUAUUGGAAACGAUAGCUAAUACCGCAUAAUAUUAAUUAUUGCAUGAUAAUUGAUUGAAAGAUGCAAGCGCAUCACUAGUAGAUGGACCUGCGUUGUAUUAGCUAGUUGGUAAGGUAAGAGCUUACCAAGGCGACGAUACAUAGCCGACCUGAGAGGGUGAUCGGCCACACUGGGACUGAGACACGGCCCAGACUCCUACGGGAGGCAGCAGUAGGGAAUCUUCGGCAAUGGACGAAAGUCUGACCGAGCAACGCCGCGGGAGUGAAGAAGGGUUUCGGAUCGUAAAGCUCUGUUGUAAGUCAAGAACGUGUGUGAGAGUGGAAAGUUCACACAGUGACGGUAGCUUACCAGAAAGGGACGGCUAACUACGUG